CGCGUAGGCGGCUGUUUAAGUCAGAGGUGAAAGCCCGGGGCUCAACCCCGGAAUAGCCUUUGAGACUGGACGGCUUGAAUCCAGGAGAGGUGAGUGGAAUUCCGAGUGUAGAGGUGAAAUUCGUAGAUAUUCGGAGGAACACCAGUGGCGAAGGCGGCUCACUGGCUCGAUACUGACGCUGAGGUGCGAAAGCGUGGGGAGCAAACA
This 207-nucleotide ribosomal RNA is filed under the name uncultured bacterium. RNAcentral's name for it is "partial 16S ribosomal RNA". It matches the Rfam family "Bacterial small subunit ribosomal RNA", at positions 568 to 774 of the family's 1533-position model. The record is from RNAcentral.